RNAcentral lists this non-coding RNA (27 nucleotides) under Mus musculus (house mouse). The record is from RNAcentral. Lineage: Eukaryota; Metazoa; Chordata; Mammalia; Rodentia; Muridae.
UCACACAGUGAAAAUGGCAUGCUUGCG